This 538-nucleotide long non-coding RNA is filed under the name Brachypodium distachyon (stiff brome). Its description in RNAcentral is "long non-coding RNA (BDIS_LNC005567)". Lineage: Eukaryota; Viridiplantae; Streptophyta; Magnoliopsida; Poales; Poaceae. The record is from RNAcentral.
UGUAACAUCCCAAAAAUUUCAAACCUUUACAUGUGCAUUACAUCCAUAAGCAUCAUGCCACAAUUGCAUAUUUGAAUUCAAAUUUGAAUCUCAAAAGGCUUGAAAAGAUUUUAUUUCCAUUUAAACCCUAGUGUUUACACCCAUUUGACCUUUGGAUCUUCAAACCAAUAGGGUUUUUUAUUAAAGGGGUUUAUUGCAUAAAUAAGUUAUCCCAUAAUUUUUGGAUAAUUAUUUGGAGUUGAAAAACUAUUUUAUUUAAAUAGUUAUAUAGCCCUAAAGGCAUUUAUAGGGAAAUGUAUUUUUAGAUAUUUUAUUUUGAAGGGAAAUAACCCCCAAAAGUUGAAUCAUGAUAAAACAUGAUUUUACAGAUUUUUUGGAAUUUAUUUGGGCCAAUUUGGAGUUCAAAAUCAAAAGUUAGAAAAGAUUUACAGAAAAAGAAAAGGAGAAAAGGCUAAAAGGAAAAAAAAGAGGAAAACGGACCGACCCGGCCGAAUUGGCUGAACCGGCCCAAUCCCUCGCGCACGCCGCAGCCCAGCCC